AGACAGCAGUAGCCGCGGUAAUACGUAGGUCCCGAGCGUUGUCCGGAUUUAUUGGGCGUAAAGGGAGCGCAGGCGGUUUAGUAAGUCUGAAGUUAAAGGCAUUGGCUCAACCAAUGUAUGCUUUGGAAACUGUUAGACUAGAGUGCAGAAGGGGAGAGUGGAAUUCCAUGUGUAGCGGUGAAAUGCGUAGAUAUAUGGAGGAACACCGGUGGCGAAAGCGGCUCUCUGGUCUGUCACUGACGCUGAGGCUCGAAAGCGUGGGUAGCGAACAGGAUUAGAUACCCCAGUAGUCCCUGUCUCUUAUACA
Molecule: ribosomal RNA, 307 nt
Filed under: uncultured bacterium
Lineage: Bacteria
Description: partial 16S ribosomal RNA
Rfam family: Bacterial small subunit ribosomal RNA
Source: RNAcentral